CCACGGGCGGCAGCAGUGGGGGAUAUUGGACAAUGGGGGCAACCCUGAUCCAGCCAUGCCGCGGGUGUGAAGAAGGCCCUCGGGUUGUAAAGCACUUUCAGUGAGGAAGAACGCCUGGUGGUUAAUACCCAUCAGGAAAGACAUCACUCACAGAAGAAGCACCGGCUAACUCCGUGCCAGCAGCCGCGGUAAUACGGAGGGUGCGAGCGUUAAUCGGAAUUACUGGGCGUAAAGCGCGCGUAGGUGGCUUGAUAAGCCGGUUGUGAAAGCCCCGGGCUCAACCUGGGAACGGCAUCCGGAACUGUCAAGCUAGAGUGCAGGAGAGGAAGGUAGAAUUCCCGGUGUAGCGGUGAAAUGCGUAGAGAUCGGGAGGAAUACCAGUGGCGAAGGCGGCCUUCUGGACUGACACUGACACUGAGGUGCGAAAGCGUGGGUAGCAAACAGGAUUAGAUAUCCUUGUAGUC
This 464-nucleotide ribosomal RNA is filed under the name Vreelandella stevensii. RNAcentral describes it as "partial 16S ribosomal RNA". It matches the Rfam family "Bacterial small subunit ribosomal RNA", at positions 339 to 795 of the family's 1533-position model. The record is from RNAcentral. Lineage: Bacteria; Pseudomonadati; Pseudomonadota; Gammaproteobacteria; Oceanospirillales; Halomonadaceae.